RNAcentral lists this unclassified non-coding RNA (399 nucleotides) under Athalia rosae (coleseed sawfly). RNAcentral's name for it is "misc RNA ENSAEAG00005005358.1". The record is from RNAcentral. Lineage: Eukaryota; Metazoa; Arthropoda; Insecta; Hymenoptera; Athaliidae.
CCAGGUGAUUGAUGACACUGUUUGUUGGCAGCUAAGGUGAUUAAAUAGUUCAUGAGGAAAUUGGAAAAAUAGGAGAGAAUUGCUGACAGUUCGUAGGAGGUGAGAUCAAUGAAUAUACUUCCUAGUUCUGGCAGUCCAGUGGAUUGAUAUUAUUACAAUUGCUGAGAACUCACUAAUUAAAAACUCGUGACACACCUUUGACGUUGCAUCGGAGCAUAGCCUGUGAAUCGAAGUUGAACACAACCCUGACGUUUACGAAUACUAGUGAUGACAUGUAAUUGUAAUUAUUCCUUUAUUCAGGUAAUUGCAUUCUUGGUCUCGAAAUGGAAAACACUCAGAGGAUCAGAGGCUACAGUCUCCAGACAUUUGCGAUUGUUGGGGCUGGACAAUGGAACUAAG